UGGGGAAUUUUGGACAAUGGGCGCAAGCCUGAUCCAGCCAUGCCGCGUGCAGGAUGAAGGCCUUCGGGUUGUAAACUGCUUUUGUACGGAACGAAAAGGUUUCUUUUAAUACAGGGAACUGAUGACGGUACCGUAAGAAUAAGCACCGGCUAACUACGUGCCAGCAGCCGCGGUAAUACGUAGGGUGCGAGCGUUAAUCGGAAUUACUGGGCGUAAAGCGUGCGCAGGCGGUGAUGUAAGACAGAGGUGAAAUCCCCGGGCUCAACCUGGGAACUGCCUUUGUGACUGCAUCGCUGGAGUGCGGCAGAGGGGGAUGGAAUUCCGCGUGUAGCAGUGAAAUGCGUAGAUAUGCGGAGGAACACCGAUGGCGAAGGCAAUCCCCUGGGCCUGCACUGACGCUCAUGCACGAAAGCGUGGGGAGCAAACAGG
Molecule: ribosomal RNA, 429 nt
Filed under: Actinomycetes bacterium
Lineage: Bacteria; Bacillati; Actinomycetota; Actinomycetes
Description: Actinobacteria bacterium partial 16S ribosomal RNA
Rfam family: Bacterial small subunit ribosomal RNA
Source: RNAcentral